Molecule: ribosomal RNA, 766 nt
Filed under: uncultured Candidatus Poseidoniales archaeon
Lineage: Archaea; Methanobacteriati; Thermoplasmatota; Candidatus Poseidoniia; Candidatus Poseidoniales
Description: bacterial SSU rRNA
Rfam family: Archaeal small subunit ribosomal RNA
Source: RNAcentral
UUCUGGUUGAUCCUGCCAGAGGCGACCGCUAUUGGAGUUCGAUUAAGCCAUGCGAGUCGAGAGCUUUAGGAGCUCGGCAUACUGCUCAGUAACACGUGGAUAACCUGCCCUGUGCUCUGGGAUAACCUCGGGAAACUGAGAAUAAUACCGGAUAGUCCACCACGCCUGGAACGGUGGGUGGAUCAAAGGUCACGGCACAGGAUGGGUCUGCGGCGUAUCAGGUUGUAGGGGGUGUAAAGGACCCCCUAGCCAUUGACGCGUACGGGUUGUGGGAGCAAUCGCCCGGAGAUGGAUUCUGAGACACGAAUCCAGACCCUACGGGGUGCAGCAGGCGCGAAAACUUCACACUGCAGGAAACUGUGAUGAGGGAACUCCAAGUGCAUGCACAAUGUGUAUGCUUUUCCUUACUUUUAAUCGGUUUGGGAAUAAGGGCUGGGAAAGACCGGUGCCAGCCGCCGCGGUAAUACCGGCAGCUCAAGUGGUCGUCGCUUUUAUUGGGCCUAAAACGUCCGUAGCCUGUUUGGUAAAUCUGUGGGUAAAUCAACCAGCUUAACUGGUUGAAUUCUGCAGAGACUGCCAGACUAGGGACCGGGAGAGGUGUGGGGUACUCUCGGGGUAGGGGUAAAAUCCUGUCAUCCUGGGAGGACCACCAGUUGCGAAGGCGCCACACUGGAACGGAUCCGACGGUCAGGGACGAAGCCUAGGGGCACGAACCGGAUUAGAUACCCGGGUAGUCCUAGGAGUAAACGCUGUGAACUUGGUGUCG